UGGGAAUUGACUUUGGGUUUGAGGUGGGUCGUGAUCGUUGAUUUGCUUAAACUUACUCUCGAGCCCAAUGUCGUUUAAAUUUAAUUUUUGCUAAACUGCUUCAGACUGGACUCAACAGGGCUAAAAGCAGGAUCGUGACUUAAUAAGAGGGUUAAUCAAAUAUUUUUCUAUACAAUUAUAACUUUUAAUCUAAUCAAGACCAAAGCCCAUUUAAUUAUAACCUUAGCCGGGUCAACACAAUCUCCUUAUAUAUUUUUCUAUAGUUUUCAUGAAAGAUUGCAAUCAAGAGAAAGACAAGUUCAGAGUCUGUUUUAAGAAAAGAAU
This 324-nucleotide long non-coding RNA is filed under the name Phoenix dactylifera (date palm). RNAcentral describes it as "long non-coding RNA (PDAC_LNC009056)". The record is from RNAcentral. Lineage: Eukaryota; Viridiplantae; Streptophyta; Magnoliopsida; Arecales; Arecaceae.